GAUGAACGCUGGCGGCGUGCUUAACACAUGCAAGUCGAGCGAUGAAGUUUCCUUCGGGAAACGGAUUAGCGGCGGACGGGUGAGUAACACGUGGGUAACCUGCCUCAUAGAGUGGAAUAGCCUUCCGAAAGGAAGAUUAAUACCGCAUAAUGUUGAAAGAUGGCAUCGUCAUUCAACCAAAGGAGCAAUCCGCUAUGAGAUGGACCCGCGGCGCAUUAGCUAGUUGUGGGGUAACGGCCUACCAAGGCGACGAUGCGUAGCCGACCUGAGAGGGUGAUCGGCCACAUUGGGACUGAGACACGGCCCAGACUCCUACGGGAGGCAGCAGUGGGGAAUAUUGCACAAUGGGGAAACCCUGAUGCAGCAACGCCGCGUGAGUGAUGAAGGUUUUCGGAUCGUAAAGCUCUGUCUUUGGGGAAGAUAAUGACGGUACCCAAGGGGAAAGCCACGGCUAACUACGUGG
RNAcentral lists this ribosomal RNA (463 nucleotides) under uncultured bacterium. RNAcentral describes it as "bacterial SSU rRNA". It matches the Rfam family "Bacterial small subunit ribosomal RNA", at positions 28 to 508 of the family's 1533-position model. The record is from RNAcentral.